Molecule: transfer RNA, 76 nt
Filed under: Nitrospinota bacterium
Lineage: Bacteria; Pseudomonadati; Nitrospinota
Description: tRNA-Val
Rfam family: tRNA
About the family: Transfer RNA (tRNA) molecules are approximately 80 nucleotides in length. Their secondary structure includes four short double-helical elements and three loops (D, anti-codon, and T loops). Further hydrogen bonds mediate the characteristic L-shaped molecular structure. tRNAs have two regions of fundamental functional importance: the anti-codon, which is responsible for specific mRNA codon recognition, and the 3' end, to which the tRNAs corresponding amino acid is attached (by aminoacyl-tRNA synthetases). tRNAs cope with the degeneracy of the genetic code in two manners: having more than one tRNA (with a specific anti-codon) for a particular amino acid; and 'wobble' base-pairing, i.e. permitting non-standard base-pairing at the 3rd anti-codon position.
Source: RNAcentral
GGGCGGGUAGCUCAGCUGGGAGAGCGUCGGCCUUACAAGCCGGAUGUCACAGGUUCGAGCCCUGUUCCGCCCACCA